Amblyraja radiata (thorny skate) is the source of this 245-nucleotide long non-coding RNA. RefSeq lists it as uncharacterized. NCBI's taxonomy places the organism in Eukaryota, Metazoa, Chordata, Chondrichthyes, Rajiformes, Rajidae. The record is from RefSeq and is a predicted model, not a curated record. The transcript is spliced from 3 exons.
CAGCCUGGGGAUGUAUAAAGCCUGGGCAUCCCACUGCACAUUACCAUAGCCUACAACUGCCUGCACAGUGCCAUGGGUCUGCCACUCCUCCUGCUCCUCUUGCUGGUGGCAGACGGUUGCUCUGGCAAAUCUAUUUUCGGACCUGCUAAUAUUCUGGCACUUCAGUGGCCGGAAAACGUCUGUAAGCUGAAUCGCUGGAUUGGCCCUACAUGUAACUAUGAACACUGGACCAUCCGUGGCUGGUG